This is a long non-coding RNA of Dermacentor albipictus, 1063 nucleotides long. RefSeq lists it as uncharacterized. The record is from RefSeq and is a predicted model, not a curated record. Lineage: Eukaryota; Metazoa; Arthropoda; Arachnida; Ixodida; Ixodidae.
CUUCCCCUUUCUGAAAGUUUCUUAUGCAGAUUCCGAGUUUUACUUCAUUUAUAUCAAUCAAUCCUGUACGAUUCUUCUUCUCUUUUUUAUUCUUUAACACCUGUAUUUCCUUGUAUUUAUUCAUUUCGUCUUACUUAUGUUACAUGUAUCGCCCGAUCCUUGUCCAAUUCCCUAUUUGGAGGAUUAUGCCACAUUAAACAUGAAGAACUUAUCAUCAUCAUCAUCACCAUCGCUUCACGCGCCGCGAGCAAGCGUGCGAAACGUGCGUUCGAAGCCGCUGAGGAAUUGCAACCAGAAGAAAGCCAGCAUGUCUACGGCAAGCUCGACGCGGAACACCAGCGUGUCGCCUCGGCUCAACUCAGACAGUGACGAGCUGGCCUGGAGCUGGCCAGCGCUCCGCACGCCGGAAGCACUCGACUACGACUACGCCGCCACAGUCACAACCGCGAGUGGUCCGUUGGUUCCGACGGCUUCAUCCUGGGGCCCCCCGUUCUGUCUGUGGGUUCCAACGGCUGCAUACUGGGGCCUCCCAUGUGAUCUGUGGGUUCCGUCGGAUGCAUCCUGGGGUCCCCCAUGCAGUACAUGGGUUUCGACGGUUGCACCCAGGUGGUUCCCGUGCUGUGCGUGGAUUCCGACUGCUGCACCCUGGGGCAUACCGUGCGUUACGUGGGUUCUGAUCGCUGUAUCCUGGGGCCUGUCGUGUGGUCCGUGGGAUCCGACGACGCAAUCUUUGGGAUGCCCAUGUGGUUCGUGGCUUCCGACGGCUCCAUUCUGGGGUCUUCCGUGCGGCUCGUUGGUUCUGACGGCUGCAUCUUGGGGUCCUCCGUGCGGACCGGCCAACGACGGGGCUCCCGUGGCCACGGAGGACACGGCGAUCGAAGUUGGCGGAGACUCAAAUCCGUAAACAGCCAGACUGCAUAAGUCUGAUUGCGGAUCGGCUAAAUUCGACGCCACCGCCACGCAUCACGUUGCAUGAGCUACGCAGCCGCAAAACGCCACGGUUUCCAAGUGCCGGCUAUAUCAACGCUCUUGUAAAAUAUUCAAAUACAAGUUGUACCGCGUA